Molecule: non-coding RNA, 840 nt
Organism: Dermacentor andersoni
Lineage: Eukaryota; Metazoa; Arthropoda; Arachnida; Ixodida; Ixodidae
Source: RefSeq, a predicted model, not a curated record
CGUACACUCUAAACACGGUAACGUUUCUAAAUGUGCACAUUGUAAAAUUUGAAAGUAAAAGGCAUACUCUUACUUUUAGAUAAUUAAACGUAACAGUGGUGUGGCCGAUUUUUUGUGUGUUUACUAUAGGUAACACCAAUGGAAUUUAAAGUAACCGGAAACGCUUACGUGAAACAGAGGUUCUGCGUGCAAUUUCACGAUAAUGCCAUAUAAUGCGGUUACUGCUAAUGCCGCGCUGCGCGUUCUGUUACGUCUACGUGAUAGCGCGUUAACUGCGGUGUACCUCGUAGAGCGUCCUGAAUGCUUGGAACGGAGCCGCAAUCGUGCAGCGUCAUCUAUCUGUCUCGCUCUUAUCUUUCGCUCGAAGUGCACGCCGGGAAGACUUGCCUAGUGGAAAGCCACCGGUUUCCGAAGUGCGCGAGUCACCGUGGAUGAAUACUUUUUUUGUGGCACUGUGCUUUCCGCUCUCUUUCGCAGCUUUUACUGCGCAGUAGUAUUUUUUUUUUGCCCGUGCGGCCAUGGCGUAAAGCAACGGAGCGUAAUUCGCGUAAUCCGAAGCCACUGUAAUUAGCCAUAGUGUGAGUGCGUCCAGUACACAAUCAACGGCCUGUCAGACGACUCGGAACCGAAGAUGAAGUGCGAGUUGUGCAACCAUUGUCCAGGCGCUCACGGCCAGCGAUUCGAACUCGGCGGCAGUUCUUCAGCAUCUGCAGCGGAAACAGACGUACUGCAACCUGGCCGUGCACAGAGGUCUUCGACGUGUGGGGCUGGCCGAAGACAGCCGAUGGGUUUCAAGAAUAAAGCUUUUCGUAGCAUUGGAAACGUUCCGGUGUCUGUACC